AGUGAACGCUGGCGGUAGGCCUAACACAUGCAAGUCGAACGGCAGCACAGUAAGAGCUUGCUCUUACGGGUGGCGAGUGGCGGACGGGUGAGGAAUACAUCGGAAUCUACUUUUUCGUGGGGGAUAACGUAGGGAAACUUACGCUAAUACCGCAUACGACUUACGGGUGAAAGCAGGGGAUCUUCGGACCUUGCGCGAUUGAAUGAGCCGAUGUCGGAUUAGCUAGUUGGCGGGGUAAAGGCCCACCAAGGCGACGAUCCGUAGCUGGUCUAAGAGGAUGAUCAGCCACACUGGAACUGAGACACGGUCCAGACUCCUACGGGAGGCAGCAGUGGGGAAUAUUGGACAAUGGGCGCAAGCCUGAUCCAGCCAUACCGCGUGGGUGAAGAAGGCCUUCGGGUUGUAAAGCCCUUUUGUUGGGGAAGAAAAGCAGCAGGUUAAUACCCCGCUGUUCUGACGGUACCCAAAGAAUAAGCACCGGCUAACUUCGUG
This 492-nucleotide ribosomal RNA is filed under the name uncultured bacterium. RNAcentral's name for it is "partial 16S ribosomal RNA". It matches the Rfam family "Bacterial small subunit ribosomal RNA", at positions 29 to 507 of the family's 1533-position model. The record is from RNAcentral.